Long non-coding RNA from Mastomys coucha (southern multimammate mouse), 385 nucleotides. RefSeq lists it as uncharacterized. The record is from RefSeq and is a predicted model, not a curated record. The transcript is spliced from 3 exons. Lineage: Eukaryota; Metazoa; Chordata; Mammalia; Rodentia; Muridae.
GGUCAAGACCCACAGGGUUGAGAACCGCUGACUUCCAGUCUUUGUUGUUAACUAUCAAGAUCCUCAGCUAAAAUGAAAGGUCCCUGUUUUAGUUUCUUGCCUGCCUUGGUUUCCCUGGAUCAAGCCAAGAAAUCCUUUUCUCAUGUGCAAGGUGAUUUGGGUCAGUGUUUUAUCACAGCAACAGAAAGCAGACUACAACAUCAGAUGUUCAAGGAGAAAUGAGAAGAUGUACCCUCUCUGUCAGCAUAGGAAUAUUCUACUUGUAAAUUUAUUAGCUCUAUAAAUUAACUAGCUCCUCAAAUGGUCUCUAUUUCAACAGCAGUUUCUUAUCAGAGUACACAAAUGUAAAACUCAGUUCUGAAAAUAUAAAGCAACUUUCCCAAGA